RNAcentral lists this ribosomal RNA (441 nucleotides) under uncultured Gammaproteobacteria bacterium. RNAcentral describes it as "bacterial SSU rRNA". It matches the Rfam family "Bacterial small subunit ribosomal RNA", at positions 97 to 570 of the family's 1533-position model. The record is from RNAcentral. Lineage: Bacteria; Pseudomonadati; Pseudomonadota; Gammaproteobacteria.
GGCGGACGGGAUGAGUAACGCGUGGGAAUCUACCCAGUAGUGGGGGACAACUACCGGAAACGGUAGCUAAUACCGCAUACGCCCUAUGGGGGAAAGGCUUCGGCCGCUAUUGGAUGAGCCCGCGUCAGAUUAGCUAGUUGGUAGGGUAAAGGCCUACCAAGGCAACGAUCUGUAGCUGGUCUGAGAGGACGAACAGCCACACUGGGACUGAGAUACGGCCCAGACUCCUACGGGAGGCAGCAGUGGGGAAUAUUGGACAAUGGGCGAAAGCCUGAUCCAGCAAUGCCGCGUGUGUGAAGAAGGCCUGCGGGUUGUAAAGCACUUUCAGUUGGGAAGAUGAUGACGUUACCAACAGAAGAAGCACCGGCUAAAUCCGUGCCAGCAGCCGCGGUAAUACGGAUGGUGCGAGCGUUAAUCGGAAUUACUGGGCGUAAAGCGCGC